This 771-nucleotide ribosomal RNA is filed under the name Triticum aestivum (bread wheat). RNAcentral's name for it is "partial small subunit ribosomal RNA". The record is from RNAcentral. Lineage: Eukaryota; Viridiplantae; Streptophyta; Magnoliopsida; Poales; Poaceae.
AUGAGGCACUUCUGUUCGAACUUCUAUAGGGCAUGUGGCCUUAAGGAGUUGGCCGAUGAUCUUCAAGAUUGUUGUCUCGCUUUCUCCGAUAAGCGCUUCGCCACUUUGUACAACAAAUUGCUCGCACACAAAAAACUUGAUCCCGGGGGUCAAGAUUUUCUCAAUAGGCACAUUCAAUACCGGAACAAGUGGGCACGUGCUUUUGAUGAAGAUGGCCGGAGAUACGGUCAAAUGACAAGCAAUAUGGCCGAAUGCUUCAAUAGGGUGCUCAAAGGUGCACGUGGAUUACCCGUGACGGCAAUAGUUCAAUACACAUUUGACAAGAUGAAUGCGUACUUUGUAAAGUACUCGAUGGAAACCGAUGCACAGAUAGCGGGUGAGAACCCACGGAAGUACAAGUACAAGUUCCCACCCAAAGUUGAUGAAUGGUUGGCAUUUCAAUCACGGAAGGCGGACUCAGAAGAAGCUAUAUUAUAUGACAACGAAGAGUGGAAGUACGAAGUGAAAGAGCCAGGAGGAACCACAAACGAUGGCCGGCAACAUGGAGGUCGGGCUUUCAAGGUGUCGUUAACACAAUGUGAUUGCACUUGCGGGAGGCCAUUGUUGCUUCAUCUCCCAUGCUCACAUUUGUAUGCCGCCGGCCGCGUUAGGAAUGUGGACAUCAAUCACCCACGCAUGGCCCAAUCCUUGAUCUUCCGCUGCUUUUUCCUAUCCAACCUGCAAGUUAGAAACAAGAUAUUAGCAUCAUCGAAACCGUCGAGAAGCUGCUAA